AUUUUAAUAAAGAGAAGGAAAAAGUCUCUUUGAUUCAAAUGAAAGGAUGGGAGAUAGGCAUGGCAAAAUAACUCAUAUAUGUGGGUAUCCACCCGAAUCCGUCCCGAAGUUGACGGGGAAAACCUGCUUUGAUUGGGUUUGGGUUUGAGUUUGAAUUUUUCCCGAUUAUAAAAUAUGGGGAUGGGUCGAGUAAUGGGGACACUAGUACCCACCCUGAACAUGCCCCCGAACCCGCCCCGUUUAUUUUAUUAUGUACAUUAUUAUUUAUUUUUGAUAA
Molecule: long non-coding RNA, 277 nt
Filed under: Lathyrus oleraceus (garden pea)
Lineage: Eukaryota; Viridiplantae; Streptophyta; Magnoliopsida; Fabales; Fabaceae
Description: Pisum sativum (pea) long non-coding RNA (PSAT_LNC025195)
Source: RNAcentral